RNAcentral lists this long non-coding RNA (1241 nucleotides) under Cricetulus griseus (Chinese hamster). Its description in RNAcentral is "lncRNA (ENSCGRG00015039604.1)". Lineage: Eukaryota; Metazoa; Chordata; Mammalia; Rodentia; Cricetidae. The record is from RNAcentral.
CAGACCCCAGCCUUAGGACACAUGUCAAUCAAAUAAUGAGAUUGUCCAAGUUACUGCUGGCAGAAUGAUUACUACUGGGCAACUGAUUUACUAUGAACCAUAGAACAUAAAACAUUCAUAUCACAUCUCAGGUGGUAAAACACCAAUUAAGGGCAAACAGCAUAUAGCUACAACACAUUCACAGAGCUCCAAAACUUUUCCAGAAAAACUACAAACAAGCCCCUCCACAGAACAAAAGAAACUUGAUAGCCAAUGCUAGAGAUGCCAGGGAACAGGAUCUUCACAGUGUGGGCAGCCCUAUACCUCUCUGGGUGGGCAGUUAAGUAAUAUCACAUACAUGGAGAAGUUUGUGUGAAUAAAAGAGUAAGUCAACAAAGGUCUCAGAGACAAAAGAGUCACUUUAAAAAAAAAGACAACUACUAGAUUCUUUCAGUGCCUAAAAGUCACCAAUGGCUAUAAUACAGUCUCGAAGCUCAGCCUGGGGUGGAAGUCAACAGUGAAGAAAUCUAUCUGAAUUUAAGAAGAAAAUGCCCAAGUCUUCAUAUCACAUGCACAAAACUCACAAAGUUUGAAAUUCAGUCAUUUCCAGCAGCUAACUUUGCAGUAAAGCACACAGAGGGUGAAAGCUUUGUGCUUGUGUGAAGACUGAAUAAAGGUUAUCGAAAUCUGGGGGAAAUCUAAACCUGUGUCUGUCCUGCACAACCAGGUCACAACUCUCCAGUGACCUUUCUGCUAAGUUGCUUAGAAUCAUUUGAGCUGUGAAACUUUCUGAUAUCAGUGACAAACCAUGUCUUGAAAACAGCAUCAUUUGGGAAUAAUAAAUCAGCAAAUGUGUAACAGGCCUAUUCACUUAAGAGUCCUGGACACUGCUAAAGACACUAUAUGAGGACUUCAUCAAAUAGUUCCCAAUUGGAUAAAGUAAGGAUUAUUUGCUUUCCAACUUAUAGAUGAAAUGGAGGCUUGGGUGGCAUCAGAAACCUCCAAAGUGCUAAGCAAGCAGCUCCUGCAGACUCUGCCCACCCUGAGAGCUCUGCCAUCUUUUCAAGCUCUGAUCUGGAUCCUCCACACAGAACCCAGUAAUAAUGAGCCACUGUGCGUAAGGAGGAGCACCACUGUUACUUGAUAAGUUGUAGCAAAUCUUCAGCAGAGAAGAAACGGUAGAGCUGUAUGUAGUGCAGGAGGAGUGAAGCAAAUAAAAGUUGUGCACCCAUUUGUCAGUACAGAAAACAGCAUACACAAAU